AUACGGAGGGUGCAAGCGUUAUUCGGAAUCAUUGGGUUUAAAGGGUCCGUAGGCGGACUAUUAAGUCAGAGGUGAAAUCCCACAGCUCAACUGUGGAACUGCCUUUGAUACUGGUAGUCUUGAGUUAUAUGGAAGUAGAUAGAAUGUGUAGUGUAGCGGUGAAAUGCAUAGAUAUUACACAGAAUACCGAUUGCGAAGGCAGUCUACUACGUAUAUACUGACGCUAAGGGACGAAAGUGUGGGGAGCGAACAGGAUUAGAUACCCUAGUAGUCC
Molecule: ribosomal RNA, 274 nt
Filed under: uncultured bacterium
Lineage: Bacteria
Description: partial 16S ribosomal RNA
Rfam family: Bacterial small subunit ribosomal RNA
Source: RNAcentral